Molecule: ribosomal RNA, 497 nt
Filed under: uncultured bacterium
Lineage: Bacteria
Description: partial 16S ribosomal RNA
Rfam family: Bacterial small subunit ribosomal RNA
Source: RNAcentral
GAUGAACGCUGGCGGCGUGCCUAAUACAUGCAAGUCGAGCGAACAGACGAGGAGCUUGCUCCUCUGACGUUAGCGGCGGACGGGUGAGUAACACGUGGAUAACCUACCUAUAAGACUUGGAUAACUUCGGGAAACCGGAGCUAAUACCGGAUAAUAUAUUGAACCGCAUGGUUCAAUAGUGAAAGACGGUUUUGCUGUCACUUAUAGAUGGAUCCGCGCCGCAUUAGCUAGUUGGUAAGGUAACGGCUUACCAAGGCAACGAUGCGUAGCCGACCUGAGAGGGUGAUCGGCCACCAUGGAACUGAGACACGGUCCAGACUCCUACGGGAGGCAGCAGUAGGGAAUCUUCCGCAAUGGGCGAAAGCAUGACGGAGCAACGCCGCGUGAGUGAUGAAGGUCUUCGGAUCGUAAAGCUCUGUUAUUAGGGAAGAACAAAUGUGUAAGUAACUAUGCACGUCUUGACGGUACCUAAUCAGAAAGCCACGGCUAACUACGUG